Molecule: long non-coding RNA, 665 nt
Filed under: Manihot esculenta (cassava)
Lineage: Eukaryota; Viridiplantae; Streptophyta; Magnoliopsida; Malpighiales; Euphorbiaceae
Description: long non-coding RNA (MESC_LNC006579)
Source: RNAcentral
AUCCAUUUCUAUUCCCUCCUAAGGUGUUUCCUCCUCUACCUCCUAAGAUAUUUCAUCCACUCCCACCAAAGGUCUUCCCUCCAAAGCCUCUCCCACCACCAGUACCAGUUUAUAAGCCUCCACCUAAACCACCAGUUUUCGAGCCUCCUCCUGUCCCAAUCUACAAGCCAAAACCACCAGUCUUUAAGCCUCCUCCUGUUCCCAUCUACAAGCCAAAGCCACCAAUCUUCAAGCCUCCUCCUGUUCCUAUCUACAAGCCGAAGCCACCAAUCUUUAAGCAUCCUCCUAUUCCCAUCUACAAGCCAAAACCAAAGCCUCCUCCAGUUCCAAUCUACAAGCCCAAACCACCAGUUUACAAGCCUCCUCCAGUGCCAGUCUACAAGCCUGAACCAAAGCCACCAGUAUACAAGCCUCCUCCAGUGCCAGUCUACAAGCCUGAACCAAAGCCACCAGUAUACGAGCCUCCUCCAGUGCCAGUGUACAAGCCUGAACCAAAGCCACCAAUAUAUAACCCUCCUCCAGUUCCAAUCUACAAGCCAACACCACCAAUAUUUUAUAAGCCACUCCCUCCUAUCCCGAAGAUCCCUCCAUUUUACAAGAAGCCAUGUCCUCCUCUUCCUAAGCUUCCUCCUUUCCCAAAGAUUCCUCCGAAGCCUUUCCACCAC